CAACUCGCCUACAUGAAGCUGGAAUUGCUAGUAAUCACAGGUCAGCAUACUGCCGUGAAUACGUUCCCGGGCCUUGUACACACCGCCCGUCACACCAUGAGAGUUGGAAAUACCCGAAGCCUGUGAGCUGACCGUAAGGGGGCAGCAGUCCGAAGGUAGAGCCAAUGAUUCGGGGUGAAGUCGUAACAAGGUAGC
Molecule: ribosomal RNA, 195 nt
Filed under: uncultured bacterium
Lineage: Bacteria
Description: partial 16S ribosomal RNA
Rfam family: Bacterial small subunit ribosomal RNA
Source: RNAcentral